Molecule: long non-coding RNA, 683 nt
Filed under: Nicotiana benthamiana
Lineage: Eukaryota; Viridiplantae; Streptophyta; Magnoliopsida; Solanales; Solanaceae
Description: long non-coding RNA (NBEN_LNC005927)
Source: RNAcentral
CUUCUUUGUCAAAAGUAAAAUGCAACUCAUAUUAUUAGUACUCAACAGAAUUGUUGGAUUCAUUUAACUAUAAUGGGUUCCUCUGAAAGCACUGCUAAGAACUCGGAUAAAAGAAAAGCUAAUGUGGAGCAGUUGACUGCCACUGAUUCUUCAGAAGAAGUGAUCAAAAGGGUUGCCUUAGCAGCAGCAGGUGUAGCUUUUGUUGGAUGGGGCUUGAGCAAGCUAUUCGAUGGAAAUUCGAACGGACGAGCCAAAAACAAAAAAAUGAUGAAAGCUCCAGGGAGGGACUAUUACAUUUACAGGGAUGACUUUGAGCGUGAUCCUUCUGGCUAUUUCCGCAACCUUCGUCGUGAUUAAGUUACCAUUUAAAAAGAAAGCUAAUUAAGAUUGUUAUGGAAACUAAAAUAUGUUGUUGUUUUACUUUCAUAGUGUGUGGUUUCUUUAAAUUGGUAGUUGGCCUGUCAUGACCCUGUCUUGUUUCGUAAUUCCCGUAUUUGGUAAUCACUAUGUGCUGUUGUUAGGACAUCUUUCUGGUUUAUAUUUUCGUGCAAUGAACUUCUUCUUUAAGUGUAGUGUUAAUUCUUUGUAUUUCCUAUGCUGUGUUCUGUUUUGGUUUACUUCAAUUUUAUCCAUUGUUGCUUUGUUAUGCUUCCUGUAUAGGUUUACUGACUGAACUGUGUCUG